Molecule: ribosomal RNA, 301 nt
Filed under: uncultured bacterium
Lineage: Bacteria
Description: partial 16S ribosomal RNA
Rfam family: Bacterial small subunit ribosomal RNA
Source: RNAcentral
CAGUAGCCGCGGUAAUACGUAGGUGGCAAGCGUGGUCCGGAAUUAUUGGGCGUAAAGGGCUCGCAGGCGGUUUCUUAAGUCAGAUGUGAAAGCCCCCGGCUCAACCGGGGAGGGUCAUUGGAAACUGGGAAACUUGAGUGCAGAAGAGGAGAGUGGAAUUCCACGUGUAGCGGUGAAAUGCGUAGAGAUGUGGAGGAACACCAGUGGCGAAGGCGACUCUCUGGUCUGUAACUGACGCUGAGGAGCGAAAGCGUGGGGAGCGAACAGGAUUAGAUACCCGCGUAGUCCCUGUCUCUUAUAC